ACACACAUACACUUAUACCAUCUAACACGCCGUUAAAAAAUAAACGAUUUAAUUUUGAAAUGACUGAAAUACCCUUAUAGGUAGACGUGCAAAAGAAAACUUUAUAAGGAUACACAUGUAAAUAGCAACUUUGCAAUUGCAAUUACGCAUAUUUAGAUGGGUAUUACACUUAAAAAAUCCAAUAAAAAUGAACAAAAUUCAGUAAAGAUAAUUCAGUUGUUCUUAAUUAAAAAAGGUGACAAAAAAAAUUAAUAUUAUCAUGUCAUGUGAUCUCAUGUUAAUAUCAACUCUUAUAAAAUGAAUCAUGUUGCUUUUACCAAAUUCUCACCUCAAAAACAAACAAUAACUCAACAUUUACAAAUCACUAAAAAAUAUUUUACUAAUCUAAACAUCUAUAAUUAAUUUAAAUUUGAUUUACUAUAAUUUUUUAAAAAUAAUGAAGAAGAUAUAGAUGUCAUAGAUUCAAUAAUAAUAAUUAUAUCAAAAUCAAAUGGAGAAUAGCAUUACCAAAAUGAUCACCUAAUAUUUCAACUUGACCGAGUCAUGAUAUUAAAAAAGAAAAUUAGCAAUGUAGCUCAAUCUUUUUUUGAUUUGUCAAUCCAGCUGAAUCAUAAAAGACUUAGCAAGUACCAGCCAAGUUUUGAUCUCUUUUUAAAUAUAUUUUUUGCAUGAAUACCCUCAUAAAGUUGCUAUUUACGUGUAUACCAGUAUAACUUUUUUUUUGCAUAUCUACCCCUACAGGUAUUUCAGUCAUUUUAGUUUUAAGCCGUUUAUUUUUUAGCAACAUUAGAUGGUA
RNAcentral lists this long non-coding RNA (796 nucleotides) under Phoenix dactylifera (date palm). RNAcentral describes it as "long non-coding RNA (PDAC_LNC018152)". Lineage: Eukaryota; Viridiplantae; Streptophyta; Magnoliopsida; Arecales; Arecaceae. The record is from RNAcentral.